This is a long non-coding RNA of Mus caroli (Ryukyu mouse), 890 nucleotides long. RefSeq lists it as uncharacterized. NCBI's taxonomy places the organism in Eukaryota, Metazoa, Chordata, Mammalia, Rodentia, Muridae. The record is from RefSeq and is a predicted model, not a curated record.
ACGCCCGCCCCGCCGCCGCGCGCUCCCGACGGCCGACGCUCGCCUCUGUGCGGCCGGCGCGCGGCCGCUGCCCUCAGCCUCGGGUCUGUAGCCCUCACGGCGUUCCCAUUGGCUCCCAGGCGCGGGCGCGGGCGCGGGCGACGUCUCUCGCGGGGCACGUUCUUCUCAUUCAUGCGGCUCGCGCCGCCGAGCCCGCCCCCGUUCACUCUUCCAUUCACCCCCUAACCCCCGCCCCCACGGCGCUCUGGAGCGUGCGCGCGACCGCGGGCGACCGCGGCGACCUCGCUUUCUGAUUGGCUGCAGGGGCACGGCGCCGCAAACACGUAGAGACACGGGAGCGCGUGCGCCUGGCCGUCGUGUCUGGCUGGAUGGUCGGGAAAGGGGGCAUGGCGAACUGCGCAGGUUUGGGGACGAGGAACUGAUCUGGCGAGAUCUUUCUCUUCUUUUGUCCGCCUUCCCAUUUGUAAUGUAGCCAAGAUAAACUUUUAAGCGAAAAAAACUACGUAUGUACCGGAAGUGCUCAAAAACAAGCAGAUGCCCUUUCUUAGUUCACCAGCCUCCUCCAAGUUGGCCUGGUACAGUCCUGAAAAGCGUCUACGAUAGCCAAUCACCGUUAAGCCUUUCCGGCUUCCUUCCUUGCCUCUUCAUUCAUUGGUGUGAGGAUUAGAUAGGAGCUCAAGUUGUCAGUCACGCCCAGCAAGUCCUUUCACCCACUGACCCAUCCUGCCAACCCAAUUUUUCUACAAAGACCUGUGUGAAUCAUCAUGUCUUUUGGCCAGAGCAUACUAAAUGGAAAAAGCAUUCCAUCAUCCAACCAGAGGAUGCUUAAUAAGAUGACUUCUGAAAAAUAGUCCAGAGUAAAAUGAAGACUAAAACAAUGUAUUAUCCAG